CACGUAGGGGACGAGCGUUGUCCGGAUUCAUUGGGCGUAAAGCGCGCGUAGGCGGCUCGGAAAGUCGGUCGUGAAAUGCCGGGGCUCAACCCCGGGACUGCGUCCGAUACUCUCGAGCUGGAGGCAGGUAGGGGAGAUCGGAAUUCCUGGUGUAGCGGUGAAAUGCGCAGAUAUCAGGAGGAACACCGGUGGCGAAGGCGGGUCUCUGGGCAGUAACUGACGCUGAGGAGCGAAAGCGUGGGGAGCGAACAGG
This 253-nucleotide ribosomal RNA is filed under the name uncultured bacterium. RNAcentral describes it as "partial 16S ribosomal RNA". It matches the Rfam family "Bacterial small subunit ribosomal RNA", at positions 524 to 776 of the family's 1533-position model. The record is from RNAcentral.